GACUUUGAGAGUUUCGUAAGCAGAGGAGAAAAUGGCAGAAGGAUUAAGAGGUACGAGAAAUAUUCUCAAAACGCUGGAUGACAGUGAGUUAAUGAAAUGCUAAAGAGUUGAUGGUGCAGGGCUAAUAUUUGUGGUAGAUCUCUUAGAGAUACAUACAUUUCCCACCAACGCAAUAACUCUAUAACACCAGAAAUAAAAUGAUCACAACACUAAGAUAUUUGAACCGGAAAAAUGCAACAGUGCAGCAGUGAUGACUUGAGUCUGUGUCAACCUUCCAUCAGCAGAGUGAUCACACUGACAAUGACAACACUUUCACAGUCUCACAUUGUGAUGCAGUUCAUCUCAUUUCCACUGGGUGUCCACACCUUGCAGGCUCACACAGGGGUGUGUCUGUGACAACCAAUCACAACUGUUAAAAGAAUGCUUCAUACCUAGCAAGGGGGUCAACCACACCUCCUCACUAAGGUAAUACUUUCUGUCCCUUCCUUGCUCUUCUAAAUCACCCCUAAGCUAGGAAUCCUCACUAUUUUUUUAGGCUACGUUAAAUGUUCUCUGAGAGUUCUCAGAAUGGUUGUGAAUACAGCCCCAGGCCCCUGGGCACCAGUAUGCAAAAGGCCCCACCAACUCUCCAAUACAGAGAAACUCACCUGGCUUUAGAUCCUUCACAAGGGAAAUGUGACUCUGGAAAGACAUUUUAGUGGCAUUUCCCAUUGCUGGACUACGGCCUACCAGGAUGUCAUACCUACAGGACAGAGAUACUGAUCAGAAACUUGCCCCAAAGCUGAACACCUCCUCUGGAUUGUUGUGGUUCUGCACAAGUUGGCCGUUGGUGAGAGCGAGAUCAUCCCUGGGGUCACCGUUCAUCUUUCCCAGCAGUCCCA
Long non-coding RNA from Epinephelus fuscoguttatus (brown-marbled grouper), 881 nucleotides. RefSeq lists it as uncharacterized. NCBI's taxonomy places the organism in Eukaryota, Metazoa, Chordata, Actinopteri, Perciformes, Serranidae. The transcript has 3 exons. The record is from RefSeq and is a predicted model, not a curated record.